Molecule: long non-coding RNA, 1049 nt
Organism: Hippocampus zosterae (dwarf seahorse)
Lineage: Eukaryota; Metazoa; Chordata; Actinopteri; Syngnathiformes; Syngnathidae
Exons: 2
Source: RefSeq, a predicted model, not a curated record
UGCCUUAGACAUCAACUAGUGUCCUGGGUCAUUGCACCUCCUGACCAAAGGAGGCGCUGCGACCAUUUAUGCUCGCCUGCUGUUCUGAACCCUUCAUACAACCUGGCACUUUGCUUUCACAUCCUAUUUGCGUUUGUGUGAGCUAGUGGGGACAGUCGGCGGCUAAAGAAGCUGACUCAGCGUGUCAAGUUAGAGGCGGUGUGAGUCAGCAAGGCAAAAGUAAGAACAACAAACGCAACACAACAGCUACCGCGGUCCUCUCACAGUAAUGUGAACAUGUCGCGGGCUUCGGAAUGCACAAACAGGUUGUCGCUGGGUCAGCGUGGCGUAGCGGAGGUGAUCCUAGACUGAGUCAGCGUGACGACACAGGUACACCUGCACAAUCAAAAACGGACACAGCUAAGAAUGGAAUGAAUAUGUAGAUUAUUGGUUUGCAUCGAUUGUGCCACUCUGAGAGCUGUCUGUAUUUUUUUGGGCUGGGGGGGGGGCGAGGUGUGACAAUAUGUGACUAUUUCACACAAACUACUCCCUGACUCAAUAUUAAUCGAAUUAUUAUCAUCGCACUGCGGGUGCUCUGCUGUCACCGUGGCAACGCUUUGAAGGAUUUCUGUUUCGGUAGAUGAUGCGGUCUAACCACUUCUUGAAGUGAAAAAUUUUAAAUGGUCAAAAUUUAAAUAUGUUUUGGUAGAACUGAAGAAAUACAUAUAGUGAUAAACAAUUCCAUUUCAAUUCUGGUUCAAUGAAAUGUCAACUUUAAACAACUUUUAUUACGUGUAGAAAAGCAAAAAUCACCAAUGCACUUUCUCAGCCAAACUUCAAAGACGGACUGUAAAAAAAUUAAAAUAAAUCAAGUUGACCCGCUCUAAGAAAAAGUAUCCCGAGAGCACUCCUAUGACGAUAAACAUCUCAGCUCUUAAUACUAUUUAUCCCCCCCCCCGUUUCAAGUGAGUGCAAACAUGUGCAAAGACUUCAAAUAAUCAGCGUCGAUCGUGAUUACGCAUUCGUGAAGCCUCAUCAGCUGGAUGUACAAAAAAGGGGAUUGAAAUGAU